Molecule: transfer RNA, 77 nt
Filed under: Candidatus Midichloria sp.
Lineage: Bacteria; Pseudomonadati; Pseudomonadota; Alphaproteobacteria; Rickettsiales; Candidatus Midichloriaceae
Description: tRNA-Val
Rfam family: tRNA
About the family: Transfer RNA (tRNA) molecules are approximately 80 nucleotides in length.
Source: RNAcentral
GGGCGGUUAGCUCAGUUGGUUAGAGCACUACGUUGACAUCGUAAAGGUCAGAGGUUCAAUCCCCCUACCGCCCACCA